Molecule: ribosomal RNA, 1458 nt
Filed under: uncultured Thermosporothrix sp.
Lineage: Bacteria; Bacillati; Chloroflexota; Ktedonobacteria; Ktedonobacterales; Thermosporotrichaceae
Description: bacterial SSU rRNA
Rfam family: Bacterial small subunit ribosomal RNA
Source: RNAcentral
GAGUUUGAUCCUGGCUCAGGAUAAACGCUGGCGGCGUGCCUAACACAUGCAAGUCGAACGCUCUCUUACGCAAGUGAGAGGGAGUGGCGGACGGGUGAGUAACACAUGGGAAUCGACCCUUUCGUGAGGAAUACCACCGGGAAACCGGUGACAAUACCGCAUACGCUCUUGGCGGAGCAAAGCUCUCGGCAACGGGGGCGCGAGAGGACGAGCCUGUGCCUGAUUAGUUAGUUGGUGGGGUAAGAGCCUACCAAGACUGCGAUCAGUCGCUGGUCUGAGAGGAUGAUCAGCCACACUGGGAUUGAGAACGGCCCAGACUCCUACGGGGGGCAGCAGUGAGGAAUCUUCGGCAAUGGGGGCAACCCUGACCGAGCAACGCCGCGUGCAGGAUGACGGCCUUCGGGUUGUAAACUGCUUUUCUGAGGGACGAGCAAGGACGGUACCUCAGGAAGAAGCUCCGGCUAACUACGUGCCAGCAGCCGCGGUAAUACGUAGGGAGCGAGCGUUGUCCGGAGUUACUGGGCGUAAAGCGCACGCAGGCGGUCAGUUGCGUUCGUGCCGACAGCGACUCGCUUACCGAGUCGAGGAGUACGAAAACGGGCUGACUUGAGGGCCAGAGAGGGACGCGGAACUCCGGGUGGAGUGGUGAAAUGCGUAGAGAUCCGGAAGAACACCAAAGGCGAAGGCAGUGUCCUGGCUGGUACCUGACGCUCAGAGGCGAGAGCCAGGGGAGCGAACGGGAUUAGAUACCCCGGUAGUCCUGGCCGUAAACGAUGACCACGAGAUGUGGGAGGGAUCGACCCCUUCCGUGUCGCAGCUAACGCAGUCAGUGGUCCGCCUGGGGAGUACGGUCGCAAGAUUAAAACUCAAAGGAAUUGACGGGGACCCGCACAAGCAGCGGAGCGUGUGGUUUAAUUCGAUGCAACGCGAAGCACCUUACCAGGGUUUGACAUGUCGUCGCACCUCCGAGAGAUCGGAGUACCCGCAAGGGACGGCGACACAGGUGCUGCAUGGCUGUCGUCAGCUCGUGCCGUGAGGUGUUGGGUUAAGUCCCGCAACGAGCGCAACCCUCAUUGCUAGUUGAAGCUAUCUAGCGAGACUGCCACGAUCAACGUGGAGGAAGGUGGGGAUGACGUCAAGUCAGCACGGCCCUUACAUCCUGGGCGACACACACGCUACAAUGGUCGAGACAAAGGGAGGCCAACCCGCGAGGGGGAGCAAAUCCCGGCAAACUCGGUCUCAGUUCAGAUUGCAGGCUGCAACCCGCCUGCAUGAAGGUGGAGUUGCUAGUAACCGUGAGUCAGCACAUCACGGUGAAUACGUUCCCGGGUCUUGUACACACCGCCCGUCACACCACGAAAGUCGGCAACCCCUGAAGCCGCUGGGCUAACUCGUAAGAGAGACAAGCGUCGAGGGUGGGGUCGGUGAUUGGGGUGAAGUCGUAACCAAGGUAGCAAU